GCCGGAGUGGCGGAAUUGGCAGACGCACAGGACUUAAAAUCCUGCGAUAGGUGACUAUCGUACCGGUUCGAGUCCGGUCUUCGGCAC
Molecule: transfer RNA, 87 nt
Filed under: Paenibacillus solanacearum
Lineage: Bacteria; Bacillati; Bacillota; Bacilli; Caryophanales; Paenibacillaceae
Also listed under: 1 other name
Description: tRNA-Leu
Rfam family: tRNA
About the family: Transfer RNA (tRNA) molecules are approximately 80 nucleotides in length.
Source: RNAcentral